Molecule: ribosomal RNA, 404 nt
Filed under: Verrucomicrobiota bacterium
Lineage: Bacteria; Pseudomonadati; Verrucomicrobiota
Description: Verrucomicrobia bacterium partial 16S ribosomal RNA
Rfam family: Bacterial small subunit ribosomal RNA
Source: RNAcentral
UGGGGAAUAUUGCACAAUGGGGGAAACCCUGUUGCAGCGACGCCGCGUGAGCGAAGAAGGCUUUCGAGUCGUAAAGCUCUGUCCUAUGAGAAGAUAAUGACGGUAACCGGAGAAGAAGCCCCGGCUAACUUCGUGCCAGCAGCCGCGGUAAUACGAAGGGGGCUAGCGUUGUUCGGAUUUACUGGGCGUAAAGCGCACGUAGGCGGACUUUUAAGUCAGGGGUGAAAUCCCGGGGCUCAACCCCGGAACUGCCUUUGAUACUGGAAGUCUUGAGUAUGGUAGAGGUGAGUGGAAUUCCGAGUGUAGAGGUGAAAUUCGUAGAUAUUCGGAGGAACACCAGUGGCGAAGGCGGCUCACUGGACCAUUACUGACGCUGAGGUGCGAAAGCGUGGGGAGCAAACAGG